Long non-coding RNA from Belonocnema kinseyi, 1615 nucleotides. RefSeq lists it as uncharacterized. The record is from RefSeq and is a predicted model, not a curated record. NCBI's taxonomy places the organism in Eukaryota, Metazoa, Arthropoda, Insecta, Hymenoptera, Cynipidae. The transcript is spliced from 3 exons.
CAUGGCACUGACAAAUCUUCUCAUACGUACCUCGCACAUGGUAUUCAUUUUCUUGGGGUUCGGCAAGCUGUUACCAGGUGACAGCGGCCUCAUUCUUGGCAGGUCCUCAACAUUGUUGAAGGAAGUGCGCCUCGCGCAUGCAGCGAUACCACGAUCUUGAUGAACUGUGAUUAAGUCCAUAGGACCUAUGAUAGUUAUAAUUUCAAUUAAAGCUGCCAAGGUCUACCUCAGUUCCUGCUUUCAGAUAUCAGCAAAAUUUCCUUGCAACUUGUUCCUCAAGAGCCAUCAGCUAGACAUGACGUGUAGACAUGAGGUACAUGCAUGAGGCGACGUCAUUUAAAUAUAUCUCUAUACAUGUAUAUGUAUACGGUGCACAUGUUCUCGUGGGAUCUUUGACCGUAACACUGAUGGGAUGACUACUGGCAAGGCCAUCUAGAUCCAAAGCUGGCUGUAUCUUAUCCAAGAUGAAUUGAUCCAUCAUGCUCCACUCAGGUGCAAGGUGGUUUACGCCUUUGUACUCAAAGUAGCUGGCUGCUCCUUCGUUCAACCAGAGGUCAUUCCACCACUUCAUGGUUACCAGAUUUCCGAACCAUUGAUGGGCAAGUUCGUGGGCUACAACAACAGCCACCCACUCGUGUGCAACUGUGGAGGUUUCAUCAGGAUCAUAAAGAAUUGAUGUUUCUCUAUAAGUGAUGAGGCCCCAGUUCUCCAUGGCACCAGCUGCGAAGUCUGGGAUGGCUAUCAAGUCUGAAAAUGGAAAAUUUUGAUUAGAUUCAUGGCAUAUGAUUAAGGACUGAAGUGAAAUCAACAUCUUUGCAUCAUAUGUACCUUGUUUUGGUAGUGGAUAAUGGACACCAAAGAAGGAUUCAAAAUAGUCCAUUGCUCGAGAAGCUGUGCUAAGUGCAUAUUUCGCCUGCGAAAGCAUAGCUUCUGCAGCAUACACACUAACAGAAAUGUUUCUGCUCGUCAUUUCGGAUAUCCUCUUAAAAUCGCAAACAACAAAAGCCACCAGGUAGGUCGACAUCUCCACAGAUUCUUGAAAAUCGUCCCGGAGCUGUAAAUCAGAUUGGUUCUAUUUCAGGCAUAUGUAGGGAUUCUUCAUAAUUGAUAUUUUGUGAUGGUAAUUAAAAGUUUGAUUUUAGGCGUCUUAUUAUCAGAUUCUAUUAUGAAUUUAUAAAAAUUAUACCGAGUAGAAAUUGUAAAUUACUCUAACUUGUUAGUUCGUUAGUAGUUUUUGUUCUCGCAAUUUUUUUUACUUACAAGUCCCGUUCCCAUGUAAAAUCCAGCAUCUUCAGUAUUCAUUACAGGCAUGUUACAUAGAGCUAUGUGGAACCUGUCUCUGAAUAUAGAGACUUUGAACUUUGCCUUGAACUGCGGCUCGUCGAAGCAAGGAAACGCAGAACGUGCAUAUGUUGGUUCAAAAUGCGUUGUCGCCAAAUACCUAAAAGAGGUUUAUAGUAGUCAGAAUUUUAGGUCAAAACAUGGUUAGUAAUUUUAAAUUAGGUGGCAGUAUCCUCUCUAAAAAAAGUAAUGUUUCCAAAUAUCAUGCUAAUAUCCUACACAUUACUGUGAAAAAUCAGAUUGGCUAUUUAUUGACUAGAAAUUAAUAAUAUUU